AUACGGAGGAUGCGAGCGUUAUCCGGAUUUAUUGGGUUUAAAGGGUGCGCAGGCGGGCGAUUAAGUCAGCGGUGAAAGGCUCGGGCUCAACCGGAGCAGUGCCGUUGAUACUGGUUGUCUUGAAUGCGGUCAAGGCCGGCGGAAUGUGGCGUGUAGCGGUGAAAUGCAUAGAUAUGCCACAGAACACCGAUAGCGAAGGCAGCUGGCCGGGCCUGCAUUGACGCUGAGGCACGAAAGCGUGGGGAUCGAACAGGAUUAGAUACCCUGGUAGUCCACGCUGUAAACGAUGGACACUCGUUGUCGGCGACAGACAGUCGGCGGCCAAGCGAAAGUGAUAAGUGUCCCACCUGGGGAGUACGGUCGCAAGGCUGAAACUCAAAUGAAUUGGCGGGG
This 393-nucleotide ribosomal RNA is filed under the name uncultured bacterium. RNAcentral describes it as "partial 16S ribosomal RNA". It matches the Rfam family "Bacterial small subunit ribosomal RNA", at positions 523 to 918 of the family's 1533-position model. The record is from RNAcentral.